CAGAGGAUAGCCCAGAGAAAUUUGGAUUAAUACCUCAUGUACUAUAAGGCCUCAUGGUUUAAUAGUUAAAGCUUCGGCGGUAAUAGAUGGGCAUGCGUAAGAUUAGCUAGAUGGUAAGGUAACGGCUUACCAUGGCGACGAUCUUUAGGGGGUCUGAGAGGAUGAUCCCCNACACUGGUACUGAGACACGGACCAGACUNCUACGGGAGGCAGCAGUAGGGAAUAUUGGUCAAUGGAGGCAACUCUGAACCAGCCAUGCCGCGUGAAGGAUGAAGGCGUUCUGCGUNGUAAACUUCUUUUAUACAGGAAGAAAAGACCUUGCGAGGUUCUAUGAA
This 335-nucleotide ribosomal RNA is filed under the name uncultured bacterium. Its description in RNAcentral is "bacterial SSU rRNA". It matches the Rfam family "Bacterial small subunit ribosomal RNA", at positions 136 to 473 of the family's 1533-position model. The record is from RNAcentral.